GGUAAUUUGCGAGAACCCAGCCUGUGUGGCAAGAAUGGUUCCUGUGCUGUCCUCUGUGCUGAGCCACCGAGCCCUUCCAGAGUUCUGUGCAGGUAGCCCUGUGCGGCCGACCUCAGCAUGGGGCUCUCAUUCUGGUGCCGCAGGAGGGAGCAAGGCAUCCAGAAAAGUAAACCUUUCCUCAGAGAUGUGAGAGGGAAACUGGGGUAUCUCCCAAAAAUGGGGGAAGCAAGAUGCCUCCGGCUAUUCCAUCCCAUCCUGGGCCCACCUAGCCUUCACCUAGGAUGCCACCGUGGCACACAGGAGGAGCCCCAGCAACUUGCUCCUGUAAUUACGGCACCCACACAUAGAAACACAUGGAUGCUGCUUCCCAAGCAUGAGUUCCCGCUGCCGCACGCUGACACCGACCCUCGUGCACACUCACACAUGUCUCUCGCUCACCGGGCGAUGUUAACAUCUCAUUAUCUUUGUUACUGUAAUUACAUUAUCCGCUGCUUUAUGCAGAAUUAUCCUCGGAGGACUAA
Molecule: long non-coding RNA, 521 nt
Filed under: Rattus norvegicus (Norway rat)
Lineage: Eukaryota; Metazoa; Chordata; Mammalia; Rodentia; Muridae
Description: long non-coding RNA NONRATT021103
Source: RNAcentral